RNAcentral lists this unclassified non-coding RNA (1692 nucleotides) under Haliotis rufescens (red abalone). RNAcentral describes it as "uncharacterized LOC124113685, transcript variant X6". The record is from RNAcentral. Lineage: Eukaryota; Metazoa; Mollusca; Gastropoda; Lepetellida; Haliotidae.
GACUUUUAGGCAAUCCCUUAUACAAAGCCUUGUACCGACAAGCUGUGCUCUGUUACAACCGUGCUCUCAGCACAGCACUGUGGACUGUGUCCGGUUUGUCCCGUUAUAAAUAGACAUCCCGAAUUACACCUCAUAGUAUGAAGUGCGUAAACAGAAAGAGCAAUGGAUACCGCGCGGAUGAUUCGUUCGUCCCUUGCGUUUCUGCUUGUCCUGGAUAUGUCUUGUAAAGUUGUUGUGCAGUCUCCACCCCGCUGGCAGGGUACUCCAUGAAGGUGUGUAUAAAUGGUGAACACAGACAAGCAGGUCGGUAUAAUUCACCACCGAGGCAUCCAUUGAUGAGGUCAGCUCCAGCAAAUGUCCAACAGCAUCCGAGACUUCAAGAAGUGUCUUCUGCCCACUGGCCUUACUUCUUCCCUGGCCCGAUUCCUCAAAGUAGUGACAAACUUGACAGUCCUGAGUCUGAUCUCUAGAAACAGUGUUACGACUGGAGACCGAUGAACUUGUUCUUCUUGGGACGACGACACUUCUCAAUUGUACAACAGAUGGAGAAUCAUUUCAAAAAGUGACAAUAACUAUAAAAAAGGACCCGAAUCUUACCGUGUUUACCUGUCCAACAUAUAACACAUGUGUUACAAAUUUUCCUGGAUAUUUUUACAAGGAAAGUCUGUCGACUCCCAACAAAAUUGUUGUUGGCAUUACCGCUGUCACAAUGGAUGAUAUUGCCUGGACGUGUCAAUACGAGUUUGAGAAUGCCCCAAAAGCACAGAAGAAUCUCACCAUUUCUGAUCCAGAAACAGUGUUACGACUGGAGACCGAUGAACUUGUUCUUCUUGGGACGACGACACUUCUCAAUUGUACAACAGAUGGAGAAUCAUUUCAAAAAGUGACAAUAACUAUAAAAAAGGACCCGAAUCUUACCGUGUUUACCUGUCCAACAUAUAACACAUGUGUGACAAAUUUUCCUGGAUAUUUUUACAAGGAAAGUCUGUCGACUCCCAACAAAAUUGUUGUUGGCAUUACCGCUGUCACAAUGGAUGAUAUUGCCUGGACGUGUCAAUACGAGUUUGAGAAUGCCCCAAAAGCACAGAAGAAUCUCACCAUUUCUGAUCCAGGAACAUCUGGUGGUUAUUGUAUUCAAGCUGGAUCACUGCACUUGAUGGCAUGGCUCGGUUACUUCUUCAUUCUUGCUACUUCCCCAUGACGUUCACGGGCGGAUCUAGGAAUUUAGAAGAAGGCGGUACCCCUUGAUACAACAACGAUGAAGUGUCAUUCUAUCUUUGGAUUUGACGAAAGGACGUUACCCAUAGAUACAAACACGAUGGAGUGUCAUUCUGUCAAUGGUCGUAUUCAAAACACAUAUGAUCGGACAAGGCACUUGUACAAAAUAUUUUCAAAAGUUUGCCAAAUAUUACUCAGAAUUAAAUAUCAUGUAUAAUAUAUUUAUAAUUUUGUUCAACACAAAGUAAGUAUACAGUCAUGCAGCUUGUGUCCAAAUAUUAUUGUAUUGUAUUCAUAUUUAGAAAGCCUUUUCAGUCCUACUAUUGUCAUCGACUGCACGGAUUAUCCUGACGCUCUGUGUCAUUUGUCAAGACGUAGGUUUUUUUUAUAAAUUCUUUUGGCGGUGUGGUUAAAUCGUUCGCUCGUCACGCCGAAGAGGUGAGGUGAAAUGGGGUUUAACGUCGCGUCCAAGAU